UUUCCGUAGGUGAACCUGCGGAAGGAUCAUUAACAUGUCACUCAGUCAUGCUGCCGCGUGAACUGUACAAACCCACUCUGUGUACCUCUCCUGUUGCUUCCGCUGAGCCUGGAGCAUUUCAGAUGAGUUGUCUCUCGCACAGUCAAUUGCUGUGUGGGGUUGGCAACUCUCGGUGACUGCUCUGGAUUCACAUGCCCAGCGGGAGGAUACUUAAUUUCCGAAUUUACUAUUUCAUCUGUCUGAACUAUGAACCAAAAAAAAAAUUGUUAAAACUUUCAGCAACGGAUCUCUUGGUUCUCGCAUCGAUGAGGAAC
Molecule: unclassified non-coding RNA, 314 nt
Filed under: plant metagenome
Description: partial contains small subunit ribosomal RNA, internal transcribed spacer 1, and 5.8S ribosomal RNA
Rfam family: 5.8S ribosomal RNA (bases 271-314)
Source: RNAcentral